UUUAAGUGCAAUAAUAAGUUCUCGCGUCCAACUUUGAUCGUCCAUCUUAUUUGAAAAAAAAUUUAUAAUUAGUAUUUUUGUUGUUAUGAGAUGAUAAAAUAUGAAUAAUAAUUUACUCGUGACUUAUGUUUUCAAUUUUUUUAAAAAAAUUUAAAUAAGACGGAUGAUCAAAGAUGGACGCGGAAAACCAUGGCUGCACUUAAA
Oryza glumipatula is the source of this 204-nucleotide non-coding RNA. NCBI's taxonomy places the organism in Eukaryota, Viridiplantae, Streptophyta, Magnoliopsida, Poales, Poaceae. The record is from Rfam.